This 440-nucleotide ribosomal RNA is filed under the name uncultured bacterium. Its description in RNAcentral is "partial 16S ribosomal RNA". It matches the Rfam family "Bacterial small subunit ribosomal RNA", at positions 338 to 795 of the family's 1533-position model. The record is from RNAcentral.
CCUACGGGAGGCAGCAGUGGGGGAUAUUGCACAAUGGGGGGAACUCUGAUGCAGCGACGCCGCGUGGGUGAAGGAGCGUUUCGGCGCGUAAAGCCCUAUCGGGAGGGAAGAAGACGACGGCACCUGACCAAGAAGCACCGGCGAACUACGUGCCAGCAGCCGCGGUAAUACGUCGGGGGCAAGAGUUAUACGGAUUUACUGGGUGGAAAGGGGGCGCCGGCGGCUCUGGAAGCAAGGCGUGAAAGCACGGGGCUCAACCCCGGGACUGCUGUUGGAAAUGCAUGGCUGGAGUGCAGGAGGGGCAGGCGGAAUUCCUAGUGUAGCGGUGAAAUGCGUAGAUAUUAGGAGGAACACCGGUGGCGAAGGCGGCCUGCUGGACUGUAACUGACGUUGAGGCCCGAAGGCGUGGGGAGCAAACAGGAUUAGAUACCCCUGUAGUC